GAUGAACGCUGGCGGCGUGCCUAAUACAUGCAAGUCGAACGAAACGUCGUGGAGACUGAUCGUCUGCAGUUAGCGGCGGACGGGUGAGUAACAAAUGGAUAACCUACCUGUAAGAAACGGGUACCAUAGGGAAACCUGAGCUAAUAAAGGAUGAUAUAUUGCCCCACAAGGUUCAAUAGUGAAAGACAGUUUUGUAGUCACUUAUAGUUGUACCCGCGCCGCAUUAGCUAGUUGGUAAGGUAACGGCUUACCAAGGCAACGAUGCGUAGCCGACAUGAGAGGGUGAUCGGCCACACUGGAACUGAGACACGGCCCAGACUCCUACGGGAGGCAGCAGUAGGGAAUCUUCCGCAAUGGGCGAAAGCCUGACGGAGCAACGCCGCGUGAGUGAUGAAGGUCUUCGGAUCGUAAAACUCUGUUAUUAGGGAAGAACGAAUGUGUAAGUAACUAUGCACGUCUUGACGGUACCUAAUCAGAAAGCCACGGCUAACUACGUG
RNAcentral lists this ribosomal RNA (497 nucleotides) under uncultured bacterium. RNAcentral describes it as "partial 16S ribosomal RNA". It matches the Rfam family "Bacterial small subunit ribosomal RNA", at positions 28 to 507 of the family's 1533-position model. The record is from RNAcentral.